This 23-nucleotide microRNA is filed under the name Prunus persica (peach). Its description in RNAcentral is "microRNA miRNA_184". Lineage: Eukaryota; Viridiplantae; Streptophyta; Magnoliopsida; Rosales; Rosaceae. The record is from RNAcentral.
UUUCCGAAACCUCCCAUUCCAAU